AGUGAAUGCUGGCGGUGGGCCUAACACAUGCAAGUCGAACGGCAGCACAGUAAGAGCUUGCUCUUACGGGUGGCGAGUGGCGGACGGGUGAGGAAUACAUCGGAAUCUACUUUUUCGUGGGGGAUAACGUAGGGAAACUUACGCUAAUACCGCAUACGACCUACGGGUGAAAGCAGGGGAUCUUCGGACCUUGCGCGAUUGAAUGAGCCGAUGUCGGAUUAGCUAGUUGGCGGGGUAAAGGCCCACCAAGGCGACGAUCCGUAGCUGGUCUGAGAGGAUGAUCAGCCACACUGGAACUGAGACACGGUCCAGACUCCUACGGGAGGCAGCAGUGGGGAAUAUUGGACAAUGGGCGCAAGCCUGAUCCAGCCAUACCGCGUGGGUGAAGAAGGCCUUCGGGUUGUAAAGCCCUUUUGUUGGGAAAGAAAAGCAGCAGGUUAAUACCCCGCUGUUCUGACGGUACCCAAAGAAUAAGCACCGGCUAACUUCGUG
This 492-nucleotide ribosomal RNA is filed under the name uncultured bacterium. RNAcentral's name for it is "partial 16S ribosomal RNA". It matches the Rfam family "Bacterial small subunit ribosomal RNA", at positions 29 to 507 of the family's 1533-position model. The record is from RNAcentral.